GAAGAUUCCUCCUUUUGGAGUUUUUCAACAAGACCAGGGUAUUGAUGUUAUAAUAUGCCAUUGACAAGAAACAGUACCCAUGACACUGGCAUAAAUGAGUGAAGGAAGAGAUUGGAAGAAGUGCCUGGGGGAAAUUUAGAGGGUGCAGAAGACCCCUGAACACCAUCCCAACCAGUGUAACCUGUACAGAAGAACUGAGGUACAGAGAAGCUAAAUGACUUCCCUGAGGCCAUACAGGAUGUCUCAAGCAAUGCAAAGAAUGAAAUUGUUUCAUAGCAAGAAGAUCACUGGAGUCCUGUGGUGGAUCCUCCAGCACAGGAGUGCUGAGAUGUACACUACGACCUUUACUGGCUAAAAAAAAUAAGAUCAGGCAUCCUCUUGUCAGAGCCCAAAGUACACUGUAUAUCUGCUGUGUUUACAGAGAGCUUUCCUUGGUUUCAAUUUCUGGAGUUAAACCUUUAAUCUCUGCAAUUCAAAACCUGUGGGAAUCUUAUUAAUAAUGGAUCUAACGUAGUAUUUUUCCAUAUCUAAAAUCCUUUUACUGUUCAGAUGUGCAGCCUCAGAAAACACCUUAUGAAGAGGUAGUAGGUAGUUAUUUAGGUAGCUAUUCCUUUCUUUAGAAAUCUUUCCAUGGGUAGAAGUUAAUUUAGUUAAACUAAACUCUAGAAGGUAUAUUUAUUCAGCGUAUUUCAUCUCUGUAUGCAUACCACUGUGCCCAAUCAAAGGUACGCUAGCAGAAGACUGUUGAGACUGUAAACACAUAGAAUAACUUUUUGCAUCAGUCCAAUUUCCAGCCUUCUUCAUCAGCUGUGAUGCAGAAUGUCAGGGUGAAGAAAUAAGAAGGAUACAGCUGCUCUCCGUCGUACCGUUGGUCCUACACAUGCAAGCUAACGCAGCAAGGAUUGUCUGCUGGGUACUUUAUCCCUGCUCAAGAACGAGGACACAGAGUUUUCCCUGAACAUGGACAGUCUCUUACAUCAUGCAUUCUAUGAUGGUGUUGUGAUUGACUCAAGCUGUUUGAUUUGCAGCAGGGACCAAGAUCCAGCACAAAAAUACAUGGGAAAAGCCAAAUUCUUCAUCAACUUCUGACAAGUCAGGGUAAGGAUAAGCAUGAUUAAGCAAGUGCGUGAGCCUGAAUAGAUGAAAAGUUGAGGUGUUCUUGGAAAUGCAGCUCUCGCUGCAUAAUGCUGCACAAAGAUCUGCCCACUUAAUUCUGUCUGAGAGAGCAUUAAACGAUCAAUCAGCAGCUCACCCACACAGCCAUUUACCUUCAGUAGAAAAAGGGACAGACCUUGCAUGGGAAGAAGAGCCACUUGCUCAGUCAGGCAGUCACAGAAGCUGGAAAGCUGAAGGAUGAACUGUUCAGAUGAGCAAAAUGCAUCCCAGUUACUUGUGGUACCUCUAGAUAGUCUACAAGAAGUUACAUCAAACAGGACAGCUGGCACAGCCCACAUGAUUCUUUGUUUUGUACAGGAAAAUGGCCACAAAAAGAGGUCACAGGAGCACAGCAGCCAUGGUCAGACAUCUGCACAAGCUCUUGCAACAUAAUAUAAUCAUCAGAGUGGCAGUCCCCUCUGUUGUAAGUCCGCAUCAUGCUUCCAUCAGCAUGCAAAUAGUAGCACUUCAUAUGUGGUCACACUAAUGAGGCAUGACUGUGUGACCAUCCAGAUACAUUCUUGACUUGACUUCCUGUCAUUGGUAAGCCCACUCUGGCCAAAUAUGUUGCACAACAAUGGCUGUUGCCAGAUGCCAUUUAGCAGAUCAAAAAGACAAUAGAUGGUUACUCCCAGUUUGUGAGUUGCUGAGUCAUUAAGAGGAAAAAUAGAGUAUGAUUCACCAUAUAUGAACAAGAUAUGGGCAUUCUUGUUGCAGUGCUGUCUCAUAAUUAGAUAUCAUGCCACAGAGAAAAAUCAAUGCAUGCUAUCCAAAUGGUAUUUCACUGUAUACUACUAAAAACUAGAAAGCUGGUGAGAUACCACCAUUGCUGGCUACGAAUGACCCACAAGUCUGUGAUUUAUGUACUGAUACUUUCUACUAUAGGAACACAGACCAGAAUACCACUGAUAAAUGCAGAUGUGAAAAGGAGAAAUGUACAUGGGUCAUCUUAGCUAAGUUAACCUAGACUUCUCAGUAAGACAUGCUCUUGUAUUUCCAGCACAUAUGGUACCUGUAAACACACAAUGGAUUUAUCGUGUACAUCUUGAACUUCUUAACCUGUCCCAUUCAAGUUACUACAAAAAGUAGCUGAGCUUCACUCCCUAAUGUGUACUGUUUGACAGUCACCAGUCCAAGUGAGAAACAGAGCCCACAGGCGGGCAGAAUGUUACUGAUGAUACCCUUUGAGAAAUUAAAAUGAGCAGCCAUCAAAACUAGUAAUAAUGUGUAACAUCAAAAGAUUCUUUAUUAGAGGUCAUGCAUUCCACCUACUUGUCUUCUCACUUCAAAAACCAAAUUAACACACACAUUCUUUGAAGUGCUGGUGUUUACUCAGGAACUGCUAGAUCAUCACCAAGUAUGGUAAAGAUAUAAUGACUAAGCAAAAGUAUUUUGCACCUUCUAUCUUUGCAUGCUGCUUUGCACAAGUACAUCACUAAAUGUGCUCUAGAUUGCUAAUGCCCAGCUGCACUAAAUGGCUUGUGGCCCACUGAAUUGUGGAGAGCCUUCAGGCCUCAAGACCAUACACUGGUAAUGAUCUACCUGUCAGGAUAGGCAACAUCUCACUCACUUUCUCUGUCACUUGUGCUUAUCUGGUGGUCUGUCUGCUUCUUAUUAAAUGACAUGAAAGUGACAGGUGUCGGUCUCCUGGCACCCAGUUCCUCCAGUCAGCUGUCUAGUCCUUCCCUACUCCUGGGUUAUCAUAAAAGAAGUAGAUAUCAACCUCUUCCAAACAAAGGAAGGGAAAAAAAAAUGAGAGAAACAGAUAGGAAACCACUCCUGGUGAAAUACCAAAGCUCUUUUAUUCAUGGAAUCUGGCGUUUACUCUUCCAAGUGGCUUUCUAUGAACAUGGCAGGAUUUGUUGACAGAGAGGGACUUCGUGCCCUGGCUUUUUCAGUGUUUUUCUCUUUCCCAUUGCCGAUUAUUAAAUGUGUUCACUUCUCAGAUACUUGUCUCUUUGCUCUAGAAAUAGCACAGAAAUAAUAUUUCAGCUGAAUGAGAACACGCUGACUUCUGAUGUUUUCAACAAUAGAUGGGUUGAUGUGAAUAUGAAAGAUAAUGUACUUGAUUUGCUUCAUUUUUACCAGCCUCUAGAGAGUUUAAUCUAUCCAGAAAAGAAGUGUCUGUCUGAUUUUUUUUUCUUGUGUGACUGUCAUGUCAUCAUCUUGUAAGACAGAGUUAUUCUGAAAACAAAAAAGUAGAAUUCAUAAAGCAUUUUGAUCAUGGGCCAGAUUCUAUCACUUUUACUCAUCCUAUUUGUAUGUCAAACUUAUCUAUGAGAGUAUGCUGAGAUAUCAGCCUACUAUCAUCAAAAUGGCGACACCCAGAUUCAAUGUCCAAACUUUGAAAGAAGGGAUUUUUCUGAAUGCUUAUCAAUAUUUACUUGAAUUGAAACUGUCAGAUUCAGCUUUACAUAAGUGGCCCAAAAGAGCAUAUGUUUACUUUAAAAUGUAAGCUUAUUUUGUGUAUACCCUAAUAUCUAUUCCCAUUCAUUUUAGGAAAAAAAAAAUUCUUCAAAUAUUAUGCAACAAGAAAAAGAUUUCUCAGUCUUUGUUUUCUAAUUUUUAUAAUGGUCUUUUUGAAUCUUCCCAUUAGGAAAGCCAUACAGUGCGUAUUAUUUACAAGGAUGGUUCUGAUUCCCUGAUCUGUCUGGAUAACUCUGACCAGAAGAGAAAAAAAAAAAUGUAAGAUUAUGCAGAAUAAGAGAGAGGUUGUUCAAUAAUCACCAGCAGCCAGCCCCCAAAAGGUCACUGCACCUCCUUACACGUGGGGCCCCAUCCUUCAACUGUGGGCAUACCAGUUGCAACUAUUCUGCUUCAGUUUUUCCAUCUGCCAAAAGAAAAUAGAUUACAAAUUUACAAAUUUUCACCUCUAGCUCAACUUCUGGUAAAUAUGGCCUUUCCCUGCACUUAAGAAUUAAGAAUUUAAGAAUUAUUUAAGGAGAUUAAUAAUUUUAGACAUUUAUUAGCGAUAAAAUCAAAAGAAGUUCUGUGUUUUCGUUUCCAUUACAGCCUGCAUUUUUCCAUUGACUUUGGUGUUUACCAGAUCAGUUGAAUAACAAGUUUGAGAGGCUCUGUGGCAAAAUUCACAAUGAAACAAAUAAAGAUUUCCUGUCAGCUCAUUUUUUCAAAGAAAUACUGAAUAUAACUUAGGUAAGUAGUCCAGAUUCAUUUGCUACUUGCAGUGUUUUGCCAUGCUUUUUUAUAGAUGCAUUCAGCCACGUGUAAUUGCAUCAUUUGGAGAGGGACUUUUUAUAAGGGCAUGUAGCGACAGGACUAG
This is a non-coding RNA of Meleagris gallopavo (turkey), 4435 nucleotides long. The record is from RefSeq and is a predicted model, not a curated record. Lineage: Eukaryota; Metazoa; Chordata; Aves; Galliformes; Phasianidae.